GCCCAAAAAAGCUCAUUUGGUAGAGCAUGAGACUCUCAGUCUGAGGGUUGUGGGUUCGAGCCCUGCAAUGGGUG
Non-coding RNA from Podarcis lilfordi (Lilford's wall lizard), 74 nucleotides. NCBI's taxonomy places the organism in Eukaryota, Metazoa, Chordata, Lepidosauria, Squamata, Lacertidae. The record is from the annotation of a GenBank genome assembly.